AUUGAACGCUGGCGGCAUGCCUUACACAUGCAAGUCGAACGGUAACAGGUUAAGCUGACGAGUGGCGAACGGGUGAGUAAUGUAUCGGAACGUGCCCAGUCGUGGGGGAUAACUGCUCGAAAGAGCAGCUAAUACCGCAUACGACCUGAGGGUGAAAGCGGGGGAUCGCAAGACCUCGCGCGAUUGGAGCGGCCGAUAUCAGAUUAGGUAGUUGGUGAGGUAAAGGCUCACCAAGCCGACGAUCUGUAGCUGGUCUGAGAGGACGACCAGCCACACUGGGACUGAGACACGGCCCAGACUCCUACGGGAGGCAGCAGUGGGGAAUUUUGGACAAUGGGCGCAAGCCUGAUCCAGCCAUGCCGCGUGCGGGAAGAAGGCCUUCGGGUUGUAAACCGCUUUUGUCAGGGAAGAAAAGGUUCUGGCUAAUACCUGGGACUCAUGACGGUACCUAAAGAAUAAGCACCGGCUAACUACGUG
Molecule: ribosomal RNA, 477 nt
Filed under: uncultured bacterium
Lineage: Bacteria
Description: partial 16S ribosomal RNA
Rfam family: Bacterial small subunit ribosomal RNA
Source: RNAcentral